Non-coding RNA from Odocoileus virginianus texanus, 467 nucleotides. The record is from RefSeq and is a predicted model, not a curated record. Lineage: Eukaryota; Metazoa; Chordata; Mammalia; Artiodactyla; Cervidae.
CCAAUUUCUCUCUCUUGCAGCCCCUCGGUCCCACUACCUGGCCGACAGCGACCCCCUCAUCUCUAAAUCUGCCUCCCUGCCUGCCUACAGAAGAAACGGGCUGCACAGGACACCCAGCGCAGACCUAUUCCACUACGACAGCAUGAACGCCGUCAACUGGGGCAUGCGAGAGUACAAGAUCUACCCUUAUGAGCUGCUCCUGGUGACCACAAGAGGGAGAAACCGACUGCCGAAGGAUGUGGACCGGACGCGUUUAGAGGUAGGUAUAGAAAACUGGGCAGGAGCCUCUGGGUUUGCAGUGAUUGCAGAAAUUGACUGGUCUCACCCAGCUUGGGAGGGACAGACAGAAUAAAUGAUAUAGGGGUCACACAGCUGGUUGAAAAAGCAGAGACUCCUACCUGGUUUCCUUAGCCCAGGCUGUUCCUUGCUGUUCUAUGCAGCCUGUUGAUUCAGUUAGCAUCUGUGGU